This 506-nucleotide ribosomal RNA is filed under the name uncultured bacterium. RNAcentral describes it as "bacterial SSU rRNA". It matches the Rfam family "Bacterial small subunit ribosomal RNA", at positions 107 to 610 of the family's 1533-position model. The record is from RNAcentral.
UGAGUAAUGUCUGGGAAACUGCCUGAUGGAGGGGGAUAACUACUGGAAACGGUAGCUAAUACCGCAUAACGUCGCAAGACCAAAGAGGGGGACCUUCGGGCCUCUUGCCAUCAGAUGUGCCCAGAUGGGAUUAGCUAGUAGGUGGGGUAAUGGCUCACCUAGGCGACGAUCCCUAGCUGGUCUGAGAGGAUGACCAGCCACACUGGAACUGAGACACGGUCCAGACUCCUACGGGAGGCAGCAGUGGGGAAUAUUGCACAAUGGGCGCAAGCCUGAUGCAGCCAUGCCGCGUGUAUGAAGAAGGCCUUCGGGUUGUAAGUACUUUCAGCGGGGAGGAAGGUGUUGAGGUUAAUAACCUCAGCAAUUGACGUUACCCGCAUACCACACACCAGCUAACGCUAUGCCAUGCCCCAGCGCAGUAAUGAGGGUGGUGCAGCGUUACUCGGAAUUACUGGGCGUAAGCGCACGCAGCGGUCUUGUCAGUCGGAUGUGGAAUCAUCGGCGGG